This 963-nucleotide ribosomal RNA is filed under the name Triticum aestivum (bread wheat). Its description in RNAcentral is "partial small subunit ribosomal RNA". The record is from RNAcentral. Lineage: Eukaryota; Viridiplantae; Streptophyta; Magnoliopsida; Poales; Poaceae.
AUGGCCGGCACCUCCCCUAGCCUCCUCUCCAUCACUGCCGGCGCCCUUACCACGGCUGCCGCCGGCACCCUCGCCACCAGUUCCAGCUCCUUUGCCGCGCCCAUGAUCACCUCGAUCGAAAACCUCAUCACCCUGGGUCUCACAAGAGACAACUUCCUGCUAUGGAAGACCCAGGUUGUCCCUGCUCUCGCUUCGAACGGUCUGUUCGGCUACGUCAUCGGCUCCGAGACGGCGCCACCACAGACCAUCAUGGAGGGCACCGAUGAUGCAGCCAAGGAGGUGGCCAAUCCGGCGUUCCUUCGGUGGUUCCAGCAGGACCAGCUGGUGAUGAUCGCUCUCCUCAGCUCCAUGACGGAGGACAUCCUUGGGCAGAUGACCCAGCUUCGCACGUCUGAACAGGUCUGGACCUCUCUCCAUGACAUGUUUGCCUCACAGAAUCGUGCCCGCGUCAUGCAGCUGCGCUACCAGCUCUCCAAUCUGAAGAAGAAGGACCUCACCGCCUCGGAGUACUACCGCAAGAUGCGGGGCUUUGCCGAUGCCAUGGCGUCCAUCGGCAAGCCACUCAACGAUGAAGAGGUGCUUGGCUACAUACUCGCCGGACUAGGUCCCGAGUUCGAGCCAUUGGUCGAGUCGGUCACGGCGCGCGACGACUCCAUCAGCCUCAUCAGCUUCUAUGCGCCCCUCCUCAGUGCUGAACUCCGCCACGAGCAGCAGGCCACCGUCGGCGAGAUCCACUCCUCGACCAACGCAGCCACCCGCAAUUCUGAUGGUCAUGGUCGCGGUGCUGGCCGUGGCAACCAGGGUGGACAGGGCGGCAACAACAGCAACAGUGGCAAUCGUGGCCGCGGUGGACGUGGCCGUAACAAUGGCCGCAACAACCUGAAGUGUCAGGUGUGCAGCAAGUUUGGUCAUGAUGCGCUCCACUGCCGCAACCGCUUCAACCAUGCGUUCCAGCCUAAAGAU